GGGAGUGUAGCACAGUGGUAGAUCGUCCGAUUUACAUGCAGAAGGUCCAGGGUUGGAAUCCCUGCUCGUCCA
This 72-nucleotide transfer RNA is filed under the name Hofstenia miamia. RNAcentral describes it as "tRNA-Val for anticodon UAC". It matches the Rfam family "tRNA". From Rfam's summary of the family: Transfer RNA (tRNA) molecules are approximately 80 nucleotides in length. Their secondary structure includes four short double-helical elements and three loops (D, anti-codon, and T loops). Lineage: Eukaryota; Metazoa; Xenacoelomorpha; Acoela; Hofsteniidae. The record is from RNAcentral.